GUGCUUGCUUUAGCAGCACAUAUACUAAAAUUGGAAUGAUACAAGAGAAGAUUAACAUGUCCCCCGAGCAAGGAAGACAUACAAUUCAUGAAACGUUUCAAAAUUUU
Suncus etruscus (white-toothed pygmy shrew) is the source of this 107-nucleotide small nuclear RNA. NCBI's taxonomy places the organism in Eukaryota, Metazoa, Chordata, Mammalia, Eulipotyphla, Soricidae. The record is from RefSeq and is a predicted model, not a curated record.